This 509-nucleotide ribosomal RNA is filed under the name Platyceps karelini. RNAcentral describes it as "partial 16S ribosomal RNA". It matches the Rfam family "Bacterial large subunit ribosomal RNA", at positions 1817 to 2597 of the family's 2925-position model. Lineage: Eukaryota; Metazoa; Chordata; Lepidosauria; Squamata; Colubridae. The record is from RNAcentral.
AACCUUUAGACAUGCAAAUAUUAAAGGCAACGCCUGCCCAGUGAACAAUUAAACGGCCGCGGUACCCUAACCGUGCAAAGGUAGCGUAAUCAUUUGUCUACUAAUUAUAGACCAGUAUGAAAGGCAAAAUGAGGGUCCAACUGUCUCUUAUAAUAAAUCUAUAAAACUGAUCUUCUAGUAAAAAAGCUGGAAUACUCCCAUAAGACCAGAAGACCCUGUGAAGCUUAAACUAAACUAUUAACACAAAUAAUAGCUAAUUUCGGUUGGGGCGACCUUGGAAAAAAAAAGAACUUCCAAACAACAUGAUUAUUCAUCAUACAUACCCAGGCCCACAAGCCAAUAAAAGACCCAGCAUAGCUGAAAACUGAACCAAGUUACUCCAGGGAUAACAGCGCAAUCUUCUUCAAGAGCCCAUAUCAAAAAGAAGGUUUACGACCUCGAUGUUGGAUCAGGACAUCCUAAUGGUGCAGCCGCUAUUAAGGGUUCGUUUGUUCAACGAUUAAAGUCCU